GAGUCUGAUGAGUUUCAGACAAAUAGCACUCAAGGUAAAAAAAGUCGAGAAGCGAAUACAACCAUUCAUUGUACAGGGUCAAAACCUUUUGCCCGCUAUAGAGAGGAAAUGUGUGAUCCAGAAACAGGUGAAGUUGUUGAACAAAUUGAAUUCUACAAGUUAACCCACUGCAAAAAUGAUGUUUGGACCUGUCAUACGG
Long non-coding RNA from Papaver somniferum (opium poppy), 199 nucleotides. RefSeq lists it as uncharacterized. The record is from RefSeq and is a predicted model, not a curated record. The transcript is spliced from 3 exons. NCBI's taxonomy places the organism in Eukaryota, Viridiplantae, Streptophyta, Magnoliopsida, Ranunculales, Papaveraceae.